Molecule: ribosomal RNA, 558 nt
Filed under: Triticum aestivum (bread wheat)
Lineage: Eukaryota; Viridiplantae; Streptophyta; Magnoliopsida; Poales; Poaceae
Description: partial small subunit ribosomal RNA
Source: RNAcentral
AUGUUUGAAGUCCAACUAAAAAUGAAGUACGGAGCAGAGUCCAAAGAUACAGCAUUGUUCACUUCCAGCUAUAGUUACGGCUUUGACACGCGGUGUUCCACCAUUCUGAUCUACAGCCGUUGUUGUAUGGCAGAGUUAAGCCUUGAGGGGCUUACUAAAGCAAUCCAGGCCACCAUUGUUGGUGUUCGCCUUGUCAAAGGAAAGUGGCCUUGUAAGUAUGGAUGCCGAGUUUCUUGCUCCUUGUCUCCCCUAGUAGAGGAGGCUACUGAGUCCACGCCUAUGGAAGUUGUGUUGCUUGAAUCUCGCGGCAAAGAAAUGCCUGCACGUUCAGAUGGUUACAUACAUUUAUCAAGGAAUGUGGUUUCGGUGGAUAUACAUAGUACAUUGAAAGUUUGCAUACAAGCUUACUCGAAUGCUGGUCCCACUCCUCUACAGGGUCAUGUGAACUUUCCUGUACAUGAAUGCCAAGUAAGCAAGCGGAAAUGCUCACUUGGCAACUCUAGGGUGGUGGAGAUCAUUGUUGCUUGGUCCCUCCUUCCCAUGGACGAGCUUGGCUAG